AACGAACGCUGGCGGCAUGCUUAACACAUGCAAGUCGAACAAAUUUUAUAGACUUCGGUUUAUAAAGUUAGUGGCAGACGGGUGAGUAACGCGUGGGAACGUACCCUUGAGUUCGGAAUAACUAUUGGAAACGAUAGCUAAUACUGGAUAAGCCCUACGGGGGAAAGGAGCAAUUCGCUGAAGGAGCGGCCCGCGUCUGAUUAGGUAGUUGGUAAGGUAAAAGCUUACCAAGCCGAUGAUCAGUAGCUGGUCUGAGAGGAUGAACAGCCACACUGGGACUGAGACCCGGCCCAGACUCCUACGGGAGGCAGCAGUGGGGAAUAUUGGACAAUGGGGGCAACCCUGAUCCAGCAAUGCCGCGUGAGUGAUGAAGGCCUUCGGGUUGUAAAGCUCUUUUGUCUGUGAUGAUAAUGACAGUAACAGACGAAUAAGCCCCGGCUAACUUCGUGCCAGCAGCCGCAGUAA
RNAcentral lists this ribosomal RNA (465 nucleotides) under uncultured bacterium. Its description in RNAcentral is "partial 16S ribosomal RNA". It matches the Rfam family "Bacterial small subunit ribosomal RNA", at positions 29 to 523 of the family's 1533-position model. The record is from RNAcentral.